GCAUUAGUAGCUUAGCAAUAAAGCAUCGGUCUUGUAAGCCGGAGAUUGAGGGUUAAAACCCCUCCUACUGCU
This 72-nucleotide transfer RNA is filed under the name Calotomus japonicus (Japanese parrotfish). Its description in RNAcentral is "tRNA-Thr". It matches the Rfam family "tRNA". From Rfam's summary of the family: Transfer RNA (tRNA) molecules are approximately 80 nucleotides in length. Their secondary structure includes four short double-helical elements and three loops (D, anti-codon, and T loops). The record is from RNAcentral. Lineage: Eukaryota; Metazoa; Chordata; Actinopteri; Labriformes; Labridae.